UACCUUUCUUUGUGUAAAUGUGUCUGUGAACUGCCCUUGCGGCAGCUGUCGGGUGGUCGCGCGUGUCCUGAACCAUAUUGGUUUCAGGAGGAAGGACUGAAUAGUGGCUGGUAAAAGGAAAGAGUCUUCGAUACUAGGGCAUUGCGUCAGGUCAUGGGGAUAUAACAACUGUAAAACAACUUUCAUAUUCU
This is a non-coding RNA of Tinamus guttatus (white-throated tinamou), 191 nucleotides long. Lineage: Eukaryota; Metazoa; Chordata; Aves; Tinamiformes; Tinamidae. The record is from RefSeq and is a predicted model, not a curated record.